Alexandromys fortis (reed vole) is the source of this 664-nucleotide long non-coding RNA. RefSeq lists it as uncharacterized. NCBI's taxonomy places the organism in Eukaryota, Metazoa, Chordata, Mammalia, Rodentia, Cricetidae. The record is from RefSeq and is a predicted model, not a curated record. The transcript has 3 exons.
CACGGGCAGCAAGGCCUACAGCAGGAGAAAGAAGGGUCAGCGUCCUGAGUGGAGUGAGGGCGACCUGUGAGGAGAAGCAGGCAGAAGUCAGUGACGGGUAAACGGGUCAGCGACCUCAGAGCACGGCUACAGGAGAACUCUUAGUGGAAUCAUGGAAUUAGACUACCUCGAAGAUCCCAGAACUCCAGAACCACCAGUGGGCAAGGACUGCCCAAAACAGCCAAGUCGGGACUCCACCUAUUUGAGUAUGGAAACGCCUCUCUCUGGCCAUUGGUCACCGAAGACUGAGAUUUACCAAUAGCAACAUCAGGGGGCUUGGAGGCGAAUCCUUCCUGGAUUACGGCUGGAGAAGACGGCCCCAGUCAGUAUUGUAGCUCUAGCAUUUUAUGAGACCCUAAGCCAGAGGCACCUGUGCAGUGCCUGUGUUAGCAUCCCUGACGUGUGGCAGCUAUGAGACGAUCGUUAGCAUUGUUUUUUUUUUGUUGAUGUUUAUUUGUUUUCUGUUUUUUGUUUUGUUUUGUUUUGUUUUAGUUUUUCCGAGACAGAAUUUCGCUGUGUAGUCCUGGCUGUCGUGAAAUUCGCUCUGCAGACCAGGCUAACCUCAAACUCAGAGAUCCCCCUGCCUCUGCCUCCCAAGUGCUGGGAUUAUAGGCAUGCACCACCA